Molecule: long non-coding RNA, 582 nt
Organism: Ailuropoda melanoleuca (giant panda)
Lineage: Eukaryota; Metazoa; Chordata; Mammalia; Carnivora; Ursidae
Exons: 4
Source: RefSeq, a predicted model, not a curated record
AGCUUUGUCCAGGGAGACGUGACCAGCGUGGCCCAUCCCACUGCCCAAGAGAGAGGUCCAGCCCUUACCCGCUUCUGCUCAGUGCUGAGGCCUCAGCCGGUCAGAACGGGCUGCAGGGUUCGGAUGGGUGCUCAUGGAAGAUGGGGAAAGGCUCAAAAGCUGAGCACAGAUGACAGCUGGCAGAAGAGAGGGGGCUCCUAGUGAGGCACAAGGAGAUGAGAACAAAGGGACAGCUUUUUUUUGAAGUUACUGAACACUCUGGGGUUUUGGACACCAGGGACCCACGUACCAAAACUACACGAACAAUAUUUUUCGCAGCCGAGCACGUCUCUUGAAUCAUGGAAUCGCUGAUGAACCGAGAGCUAUGCAUUUUCUGCAGGAUCUGGAGAACGCUUCUGAACAGCAACAAAAUGGCGCAAUUGAGAACCACAACAGCUCAUCCAGUUGGUUUUCGCUGUGCGUACAAGUAUGUCAUUUGUGGCCACGCGGAAGCCUGGAGAGCCGCUUCAUGAAGGAACACGCUCAGGCAGCUUGCACAACCCUCAGUGAGAAGAGUGUGGUUACAGGUUUCCUUUGAAACAC